CAGAUUAUGGUGUAAUUUUGGAUAACACAUUCGUUUUGGGUAUGAAAGAUAUUGGUUCGAGUCCAAUUAUUUUGA
Molecule: non-coding RNA, 75 nt
Organism: Theileria equi strain WA
Lineage: Eukaryota; Apicomplexa; Aconoidasida; Piroplasmida; Theileriidae
Source: Rfam